Molecule: ribosomal RNA, 1152 nt
Filed under: Buelliella physciicola
Lineage: Eukaryota; Fungi; Ascomycota; Dothideomycetes; Asterinales; Stictographaceae
Description: eukaryotic LSU rRNA
Rfam family: Eukaryotic large subunit ribosomal RNA
Source: RNAcentral
GGAUUGCCCUAGUAACGGCGAGUGAAGUGGCAACAGCUCAAAUNUGAAAUCUGGCCUCUAGGCCCGAGUUGUAAUUUGCAGAGGGUGCUUNGGAGUCGUCCCGGCCUAAGUUCCUUGGAACAGGACGUCGCAGAGGGUGAGAAUCCCGUACGCGGCCGGACGCCUUCUCCGUGCAAAGCCCCUUCGACGAGUCGAGUUGUUUGGGAAUGCAGCUCUAAAUGGGAGGUAAAUUUCUUCUAAAGCUAAAUACCGGCCAGAGACCGAUAGCGCACAAGUAGAGUGAUCGAAAGAUGAAAAGCACUUUGAAAAGAGAGUUAAAAAGUACGUGAAAUUGUUGAAAGGGAAGCGUUUGCAGCCAGACUUGGCGGUAGUUGCUCAACCAGUCUUUGCCUGGUGCACUCCUCUACCGACAGGCCAGCGUCAGUUUGGGCGGCCGGACAAAGGCGGCGGGAACGUGGCUCCUCGGAGUGUUAUAGCCCGCCGCACAAUGCGACCCGCCCGGACUGAGGACCGCAGUUUACGGACGCUGGCUUAAUGGCUGCCAACGGCCCGUCUUGAAACACGGACCAAGGAGUCUAACAUCUAUGCGAGUGUUUGGGUGUCAAACCCGUGCGCGUAAUGAAAGUGAACGGAGGUGGGAGCUCAGGCGCACCAUCGACCGAUCCCGAUGUNUUCGGAAGGAUUUGAGUAAGAGCAUAGCUGUUGGGACCCGAAAGAUGGUGAACUAUGCCUGAAUAGGGUGAAGCCAGAGGAAACUCUGGUGGAGGCUNGCAGCGGUUCUGACGUGCAAAUCGAUCGUNGAAUUUGGGUAUAGGGGCGAAAGACUAAUCGAACCAUGGACNUACUAGGUGGUUCAGAUGUUGAGAACGUAGUCCCACGGGGCGACACUACCUAAUUGCGGGGACCCUCGACAGUCUGCGGCUACCAGAUCCCCACCGAGAGGUGCUGGGGUCCCCACGGUAAGAAUGCCGCGGACCGGGUGACCGCGCAGCCAACUCCGGGUGCCUCGCGUACCCGGACGCAGUUUACAGACUAGACGUUAGUGGGUACCUAUGGGUACUUGAGAUAUAGUCGAAGCACCNGUAGCCCGGGAUGCAAUNCACGAGCUAGUAGCUGGUUCCUGCCGAAGUUUCCCUCAGGAUAGCAGUAACG